RNAcentral lists this ribosomal RNA (395 nucleotides) under uncultured bacterium. RNAcentral's name for it is "bacterial SSU rRNA". It matches the Rfam family "Bacterial small subunit ribosomal RNA", at positions 29 to 451 of the family's 1533-position model. The record is from RNAcentral.
AACGAACGCUGGCGGCGUGCCUAACACAUGCAAGUCGAACGAGACCUUCGGGUCUAGUGGCGCACGGGUGCGUAACGCGUGGGAAUCUGCCCUUCGGUUCGGAAUAACAGUGGGAAACUACUGCUAAUACCGGAUAACGACGUAAGUCCAAAGAUUUAUCGCCGAGGGAUGAGCCCGCGUAGGAUUAGCUAGUUGGUGGGGUAAAAGCUCACCAAGGCGACGAUCCUUAGCUGGUCUGAGAGGANGAUCAGCCACACUGGGACUGAGACACGGCCCAGACUCCUACGGGAGGCAGCAGUGGGGAAUAUUGGACAAUGGGCGAAAGCCUGAUCCAGCAAUGCCGCGUGAGUGAUGAAGGCCUUAGGGUUGUAAAGCUCUUUUACCCGGGAUGAUAA